UACGAAGGGUGCAAGCGUUACUCGGAAUUACUGGGCGUAAAGCGUGCGUAGGUGGUUUGUUAAGUCUGUUGUGAAAGCCCCGGGCUCAACCUGGGAAUUGCAUUCGAUACUGGAUAGCUAGAGUUCGGCAGAGGGAAGCGGAAUUUCCGGUGUAGCGGUGAAAUGCGUAGAUAUCGGAAGGAACAUCAGUGGCGAAAGCGGCUUCCUGGACCAGAACUGACGAUCAGGCUCGAAAGCGUGGGGAGCAAACAGG
Molecule: ribosomal RNA, 253 nt
Filed under: uncultured bacterium
Lineage: Bacteria
Description: partial 16S ribosomal RNA
Rfam family: Bacterial small subunit ribosomal RNA
Source: RNAcentral